This 855-nucleotide ribosomal RNA is filed under the name uncultured bacterium. RNAcentral's name for it is "bacterial SSU rRNA". It matches the Rfam family "Bacterial small subunit ribosomal RNA", at positions 582 to 1435 of the family's 1533-position model. The record is from RNAcentral.
GUUAAGUCAGAUGUGAAAGCCCAGGGCUCAACCUUGGAACUGCAUUUGAUACUGGCAAACUAGAGUAUGGUACAGGAAUGGGGAAUUUCUGGUGUAGCGGUGAAAUGCGUAGAGAUCAGAAGGAACACCAAUGGCGAAGGCAACAUUCUGGACCAAUACUGACACUGAGGGACGAAAGCGUGGGGAUCAAACAGGAUUAGAUACCCUGGUAGUCCACGCUGUAAACGAUGAGUACUAGCUGUUGGAUUCGGUGUAAAGGAUCUAGUGGCGUAGCUAACGCGUUAAGUACUCCGCCUGGGGACUACGGCCGCAAGGCUAAAACUCAAAGGAAUUGACGGGGACCCGCACAAGCGGUGGAGCAUGUGGUUUAAUUCGAUGCAACGCGAAGAACCUUACCUGGUCUUGACAUCCUGCGAACUUUCUAGAGAUAGAUUGGUGCCUUCGGGAACGCAGUGACAGGUGCUGCACGGCUGUCGUCAGCUCGUGUUGUGAAAUGUUGGGUUAAGUCCCGCAACGAGCGCAACCCCUAUUGAUAGUUACCAUCAUUAAGUUGGGUACUCUAUUGAGACUGCCGCUGACAAGGCGGAGGAAGGUGGGGACGACGUCAAGUCAUCAUGGCCCUUACGACCAGGGCUACACACGUGCUACAAUGGGUAUUACAGAGGGCAGCGAAGUAGCGAUAUGGAGCGAAACUCAGAAAGGUACUCUUAGUCCGGAUUGCAGUCUGCAACUCGACUGCAUGAAGUCGGAAUCGCUAGUAAUCGCAGGUCAGAAUACUGCGGUGAAUACGUUCCCGGGUCUUGUACACACCGCCCGUCACACCAUGGGAGUGGGUUGCUCCAGAAGUAGAUAGCU